RNAcentral lists this ribosomal RNA (253 nucleotides) under uncultured bacterium. RNAcentral's name for it is "partial 16S ribosomal RNA". It matches the Rfam family "Bacterial small subunit ribosomal RNA", at positions 524 to 776 of the family's 1533-position model. The record is from RNAcentral.
UACGGAGGUUGCGAGCGUUAAUCGGAAUUACUGGGCGUAAAGCGUGCGCAGGCGGCUCUUCAAGUCAGAUGUGAAAGCCCCGGGCUUAACCUGGGAAUGGCGUUUGAAACUGGAGGGCUGGAGUGUGGCAGAGGUAGGUGGAAUUCCACGUGUAGCAGUGAAAUGCGUAGAGAUGUGGAGGAACACCGAUGGCGAAGGCAGCCUCCUGGGCCAACACUGACGCUCAUGCGCGAAAGCGUGGGGAGCAAACAGG